AGUGAACGCUGGCGGUAGGCCUAACACAUGCAAGUCGAACGGCAGCACAGUAAGAGCUUGCUCUUACGGGUGGCGAGUGGCGGACGGGUGAGGAAUACAUCGGAAUCUACUUUUUCGUGGGGGAUAACGUAGGGAAACUUACGCUAAUACCGCAUACGACCUACGGGUGAAAGCAGGGGAUCUUCGGACCUUGCGCGAUUGAAUGAGCCGAUGUCGGAUUAGCUAGUUGGCGGGGUAAAGGCCCACCAAGGCGACGAUCCGUAGCUGGUCUGAGAGGAUGGUCGCCCACACUGGAACUGAGACACGGUCCAGACUCCUACGGGAGGCAGCAGUGGGGAAUAUUGGACAAUGGGCGCAAGCCUGAUCCAGCCAGACCGCGUGGGUGAAGAAGGCCUUCGGGUUGGAAAGCCCUUUUGUUGGGAAAGAAAAGCAGCAGGUUAAUACCCCGCUGUUCUGACGGUACCCAAAGAAUAAGCACCGGCUAACUUCGUG
This 492-nucleotide ribosomal RNA is filed under the name uncultured bacterium. RNAcentral describes it as "partial 16S ribosomal RNA". It matches the Rfam family "Bacterial small subunit ribosomal RNA", at positions 29 to 507 of the family's 1533-position model. The record is from RNAcentral.